RNAcentral lists this long non-coding RNA (2959 nucleotides) under Homo sapiens (human). Its description in RNAcentral is "HSALNT0095380". Lineage: Eukaryota; Metazoa; Chordata; Mammalia; Primates; Hominidae. The record is from RNAcentral.
AAAUAAGUAUAAAAGAGGCUUGGCACAGAACUCUGAGAAACAUCUUCAUUUAGAGGAGACAGGGCAAGAAGUAUAUUUGAAAAGAUAAAGAAGGCUCAGAGUUCAAAAUCAUGAAAUCAAAAGCAAAUAGCAUUUUAAGGAGAUAAGGAAGAUCAAUGGCUGCAAAUGCUUCAGAAAAAUCAAGAAAAAUAAGUAUGACAAUUAUCCAGUGGGCUUAAAAAGAUGGUCAUUGUGGAGGAUUCUGAUAGAUGUCUGACAAAAUCUGUUUUCCUUUGCUUCUAUAGUAAUAGAACUGUGCCCAGGUAUGUGGCCAUGAAGGUAGAUUGCCCAUCCCAGCCUCCCUUGUAUUUGAGUGUGGCCAAGUGAAUUAAGUUCUCACAGAUGGAUUGUGAGCAGAAUUUCUGUCUUCCCCUUCCAGUUAUAGAACAGAAAUCAUCUGGAUAUGCCUCUUUCUUCCAAGCGAGCUAGAACCCAGAUGUGACAGUGACCCAGCUACAGCCAUGCAGAUUAUAUUGCCAUAGGGAAUGUUGAAGAAAUUACUUGAAAGAAAAUUUGGUUUCAGAAGGACUGUGAGGAUGAAAGCUGCCCUACCUACCUAAUAAUUUUUACAUUGGUACUGUCAUGUGAAAAAGAGAGACAUGUUUACAAGCCACUGUGUCAUUGCAUCACAUUGGUUCCACAGUAUAAUCUUAACUUAUAUGGAAAUCUUUGAUAACAUUUGCAAUAGCAGUUUCAGUAGAAUGGUUGUGAUGAAAAUUAGAUUGUACUUCGGUGCAAAGUGAGGCGGAUGAGGAAGCAAAAAUGAGGUAAACCGCUCUUUCAACAAUUUUUUUUUUGAGACAGGGUCUCAGUCUGUCACCCAGGCUCACUGGCUCACUGCAUCCAGGCUCUCAAGAAAUUUGUAAAGAAUGAAAAGGCUGUAAAAGGAAUAAGAAAUACAUUGGUAUCUGGAGAAGAAUUCAGACUCAGAGAGUAUUUUAAAGACUAGAGAAACUUGAAUAUAUUUAAAAUGCCAAUGUGUAAUGUUCAGUAGGGAAGGAGAAAAUUAAGAUACAGAAGGGAUAAUGCAAGUCCCCUAGAAAGGUUGUUAAAGAUGGGAUCCAGGCAAUGUAUGAAGUGUUUGGAUUUAGACCAGUGGGACGGACCUCAGCAGGUGAAAAGUAUAGAUACAGAUGCUGUUAAAGCUGUGGAGUAGGGGACAGGAAAAUGAAUUUCUAGCUGAUGGAUUCUAUUUUCUCAAUAAGGUAUCAGGCAAGUUCAUCGGAUAAAAGGGGGUAUCUAAGUGGUAGGGUAAGAAGUUUAAAGUAAGAUACGUAGGUUUAAAAUAGUUGUUGUGGAGCGUAGAAGAGAAAGCUCGUUAGAAAAAUUAUAAAAGGAGUUCUUGGUCUCAGAAGCCCAAUUAGGUUUGAAUAUUAUACAUUUAUAGUGGCAGUGGUAUUGCUAAUUUUGUAAGUUUGGUCUUAUAGAGUGCAGCACCCCAUGUGUAAGAGAGGAGGAGGACUAUAUUCAUCUGGGCUGGAGUUUCAUCAGGUGGUUUUAGUGAAGGAAAAUUGAACAAGGGAAUUGAGAAUAUGGGCAUGAGAGCAACUGGGAGUGGUAAACCAGGAAAUCAGCUGAAUAGGAAGGAAAUUAAAACAGGAGCGUUUGAUAGGUAGUAACAGCACCAUGGAAUGGAGCUCUGAUAAGGUCAAAGACAAGAUGUGAUAGAAACAGCAGAAUGAGAAGGUUAUAGGCAUAGACAAUUGUGCACUCAGAGGGAGAUAGCUGAAAUUAUUAUAUCAUAGAACAGUUUCUUGGUGGGGAAAAAGUACAAUAUGUAGCCAGGGCAUUAAUGACUGAAAAACAGGAGUAGAGGUAAAGACUUAGGGACUGAGAGGCCAUGUUGUUAGAUUAAUCAGUGGACCCAGGAGUGGUGGUAGAACUUGAAACAGAAAGAUAAAGAGAACAAUGUGUUUGUAAGAUAAAAUGUCCUAUGUCCCUUUUCCCUCCCAUACUAUUGCCUAAAUAAAAAAAAAAUACUGUUAUUUGGUUUUUAUUGUAAGCGUUUUCAGGAGAAUCCAUUCUGUAAGGCUGGGCCAUCUCUUGUGUCUCUAUUUUCUAAGUGUCCUUUAACCCCCGCUAGAUAAAAAAUUAUAUUCUAAGUUACUUACAACCUAUAGUUCUUUCAUAUAAAAUUGGCUGAUACAGCUUGAUUCCUAUGCACUGUUUUAAGUAUAACUAUAAAUGAGGUCUUUGAAGCAUAUAAGCAAAAUUCGUUUUUAGCAAUGCAUUCUAGGAGAAUUGGUUGGUUAUAUGUAUCUGGGCAUUUGAGCUCCUGAAUGCCUGGUCACUCUUCAUUAGAGCCAGGAAACUCAUAGUUCUUUUUAUAAAGAGAGGAGUCCUGCUGCUCAUAUAUCUAGAAAAACUGGAAGUAACAGGACAAGUACUUGGCCCUUCUCUCCACUGUUGCACCAGCGAGAUUUUCUGUCUGAGUUGUUUGAACUACUCUUUCCCACUCCACCAGUAGAUAUGAGAAGAUCACAGGGAAGCUGCUAGAAUAACUCCCACCUUUGGAGGCCAGAAGUUCAACAGCCUGGGCGACAUGAUGAGAACCCAUCUCUACAAAAAUUUUUUUUAAAAUAGCUGGGGGUGCUACUCGGGAGACUGAGGCAGGAGAAUGGCGGGAACCCAGGAGGCGGAGCUUGCAGUGAGCCGAGAUCGCGCCACUGCACUCCAGCCUGGGUGACAGAGUGAGACUCUGCCUCAAAAACAAAACAAAACAAAAAACAAACAAACAAACAAAAAUAGCUGUGGGGGGUGGCAUGUGCCUGUGGUCCCGGCUACUUGGGAUGCUGCGUCAGGAGGAUUGCUUGAGCCCAGGAGGUCAAGGCUUCAGUGAGCUAUGAUUGCACCACUGCACUCCAGCCUAGGUGACUAAGACCCUGUCUCUAAAACUGGUAGCUCUGGGAUAGGGUCCUGG